Molecule: RNA transcript, 959 nt
Organism: Equus quagga
Lineage: Eukaryota; Metazoa; Chordata; Mammalia; Perissodactyla; Equidae
Gene name: sterile alpha motif domain-containing protein 1-like
Exons: 3
Source: RefSeq, a predicted model, not a curated record
UUUGUGUCGGAGCCGGACGGGCGGCCGCGCGCGGGGUCAUUCUCUCAACGUGUUGGGGACCCGGACCUGCGUGCUCACCCAUUAUUACUGUGCAAGAGAAAAGUAUUUCUUCUUAUUGGACAGCUGACCUCUGACGUCCAUUUUGCUACUCCUUAGCAUUUUGCACCUCAACCCUGCACACGUCCUGGUAGCUCCACUUGAUCUGCAGAAACCACAACGAUGGAGAAACUAACUAGGGCAGAAGAGGAAUCACUGAAGAUUAGCCCUGAGCUGACAUCUGUGACCAUCUUCCUCUACUUUAUAUGUGGGACGCCUGCCACAGCAUGGCCUGAGAAGCGGUGCGGAGGUCCGUGUCUGGAAUCCAAACCGAUGAACCCCAGGCCACAGCAGAAUGUGCAAACUUAACCGCUACGCCACCAGGCCAGCCCUUCAACUAAUUUUCACAUCAUGUGAAUCCUUGGCUUGUUUGUAUUGUAUUUGGAAAGUUAAUAUUCCAGUUUAGGAAGUCAGAGCUUCUAUGAUUUGGGGGGGGAUUAUAGUUAAACUGAAUGUCAAGCUUAUAGUUAAGGAUCUAAGGCCAUUUGACUAACUCUUUGUGUUAAUAGAUCUUUUUCCCCUAAUCAUACUUUUUGAGUCUUUACCUAUUCAUUUAUGUUUGAAGUUUCUACCUUUCAACCACUUACACUGUUCUGAGCCGAUUCCCAGGCUAAUCGUAAUGUUGGCUGGUGUGGCCCUUACCUAUAAUGAGAGGAGUUUAGGCCACCAGUGCUGGAAGAUACUUUAGCAGUCAAGUUCACAAGCUGGUUCAUGGGAGAGCUGAGGUAACUUGGAGAGGGAGUGUAGUUUUGUACUUAAUACUGUAGUUUUUGGAGUCAGGCUUUUUGGGAUCAAAUCUCAGCUCUGCCACUCACUGUGUGACUGUAGCCAGUUACUUAACUAGUAAAAUGGGCAUAAUAAAG